GAGGAGAUGCAAGAGUGGUGAUGUGUAGAUCUGUGGCAGCCCGCAAGCGCUUUGCAACUCAGACAGGUUCAAACAAGUGCCACUCUUUGAAGACUUAUGAAAGCCUGUUUGGUACAACUUCAGGAAGAGUGGGAAGAGGAAAGGAAGAGGUUACAGCAUGGAAACAGACAGAGGUGUCGCCCAGAGAGCCGCUAUGGGAGUGCAUCCAUUCAAAGGAGAGGCAAUAUACUUGUAAGAGACUCCCUCGCUGAGAUCGAUGAUGAUGCAUUGACCUGAAGACCGACGAGAGAUGAUCUUUGACCUCUGGCUGUAAAAGCUCAAACACACUUUCUCUUUGAAGGGCUUGUAGAAACGUCUUACCUUUGGGCCUUGGGCUCACUCGGAGAGAGCAAAGUAGGAAAAUAACAAGCAACAAAUUUACGGGUCAGCAGUCAGCAGACACCUGGAUUCUUUUUGAAUCAUGAGAUGAGACCAAGAGCCAAGUUUCUGACCUUGCCCUUAGCAGGUAUGCACAUGAGAAAAACAGCCGCACUGUAUGUUUCCAUGUGGCUGAGCCUCAGGAAAGACUAGUUUUCUCCCGUUAGCCAAAAGAUUAAAAGAGCUGGUCAACAUUUCAAUAAAUACUCAUAUUGGCUUCCUUUCUGAGACUUUAAUAUCAGUACCAGUGUGCCAAAUAUGAAGCUAGCCAGCAGUCACUUAGCUUAACUAACAUAAAUACUGUAAACAGAAGAAAGCAUCCAGCCUGUCUUAAGAUGGCAAUUUCUUUUUUCUGUUUUACAAUUUUUUUCCAAUAUUUUUUUGAAAUACACUGAGAGAUCAAUAAAAAUACAAAAAGAGACUGAAUUGACAUGUAUAAUGUAAAAUCACGUAAUAAAAAUCGUAAACUUUCAAUCAUCGAUACACAAAUAUUACCUGUUUAAGAUGUGAAAGAUUUACAUUUAAAUUUAAAUACAGAUCAAGUUCGGUUUUUUGUUUGUUUGUUUGUUUUUUUUUAAGCUGUGCUUUUAAGUGGUGUCUGUAGUCGAUAUCAAUAUUCUUAUCAAACAGGGAAGCAGCGGCCUGGAUUCAAUUCCAGCUCACGGCCCUUUGCUGCAGGUCUUCCUUCAUUGUUCUCACUACUUUCCUGUAUGCCAAUCAACUAACCUAUCAAAUAAAGCCAACACAAGUCCAAAAAAAUACUUAAAAAAAGGAAAGAAAACAAAUAACUAUUUCCCUACAAAAGUUC
Molecule: long non-coding RNA, 1225 nt
Organism: Acanthochromis polyacanthus (spiny chromis)
Lineage: Eukaryota; Metazoa; Chordata; Actinopteri; Pomacentridae
Exons: 3
Source: RefSeq, a predicted model, not a curated record